ACGUGUUUUAUCACGAUCUAACAACUCUUUUGGGAUUUGGAGUUUUGAUGAGUCGCCACCUAAUGAAUUAAGGUGCGUUAGGGAACCUAUAUAACCUAACUAAGUCUAACUAAGGUCAACGAACCAGAGAUCAGGGUAAGAGUUCAAAUUACCUCGAGGAGAAGGUGUUAGGCAUUAAUAUACCGUGGUUUCACGGUAUUUUUAAUGCUCUUUCCUUAAGUUUAGUGUGUGUCCAAAAGCCUUUUUAUAUUGAUUUUUAUGUAAGUUUUUCUUUAUUUA
RNAcentral lists this unclassified non-coding RNA (279 nucleotides) under Hevea brasiliensis (rubber tree). Lineage: Eukaryota; Viridiplantae; Streptophyta; Magnoliopsida; Malpighiales; Euphorbiaceae. The record is from RNAcentral.